UCAGGAACUUCUGGGAAGGCAUUAGGCCUGGUUAGAUGCUGGUUGCCAUGGAGCCCAGGGCCAGAGGCAGUUUCUGGUCGUGCCUAGGAGCUGUGCAACGCCAGCCCUUGAGGAGGAAGCCAUCUGUUUCUGGAAUCACCCUCCCCGCCACGUAUAUGAGACAUAUCCUUGAUUGUCCGUGAAAUCAGGUGGUCCAGGGCCAGGUUGGUCCAUAGAGCCUCUGACUCUGCAACACCUCACCCCAGGGUGCCGCCAGCAUAAAGACAGAAGCCUGCAGGGCUCAACAAGGAGAAGGGGCAAAGUGAAGAGAAUUCGGGAAGCUCGUGACAGCAAAAUCACAGGUCAUGGAGUAAAGGGAAGACGAAAUUAGAAAGGAGGUUUCCUAAUUUGGGACAUUGGGAAGAUAUCUGGCAGAAAAUCUGCCUCAAGCAGGUUCAUCUGUUUAAUUAACCUGAGGCCAGUGACUGUUUUGUUGUUGUUGUUGUUUUAUCCAUGAAAUGUGACCAGCAUGAAAAAUCUGAUAUGCAUAUUUCAGAGGACAGCCCCUGUGACAUUCGUCAGCUUAUUAAAGGAAACAAUAUGCCCUAAAACGUGAAAAGCCACUUCCUUGAAACCAAGUCGAGGGGGAAUGGUAAACCAAAGUUAGCAGAAAUAGAAAAGUAGGGUGUUGGUCAGGAAAGACUUCCUAUAGAGAUGUGCCUGUCAGAAAGAUUACUAUUCCCAUCCCGCAUGCUGGAGACCCAUGUGGCAAACAGUGUGGCAGGGACAGACUUUGUUUAAACGAAGGAAUUUGCACUGAAGAUCAUCUUCCGCAUUUUUAUAAACUUUGAAAGCAGUCAGUGGUCUCAGCAUUUUCCUACAAAGGCCAUAUCCCCACGCGUACAUUUGAAUUCUCAAAAGCUCUUUCUCCAAAAGCAUUGCUAAUAAAAAAUGUAAAAAAAAAGAAUUGUCAAAGGGGCCUCUAGAGAUCAUUUGACUUGGUUCAAUAUCUUUAGGCUUGUGAGUAUGUAAAACUAUCCAAGACACAAAGUUAUCAAGUCUUUUUGUUUUGUUCUGUUUUUUUUUUCCUCCCAUUAAAGCAUUCUAGAAACAAAGACCACUGCUCUGAAGCAUUUACUAUUCUGAUAGGUAAUGUGCUCUUAUAGUCACCUGAGGCUGUUGUUAUUCUUGUGUACUUCUAUGCUGCUGAUUAAUUUUCAAAAGCACGGUACAGAGAAAGGGUGCUCAACAUUACUAGUUAUUAGGGACAUGAGAAUUAAAAUCACAGUGAGAUACAGUCUGUCCUCUGUAUCUGUGGGCUCCGUACCUGCUGAUUCAACCAACCAUGGAUCAAAAAUAAUCCAAACAACAACAAAAAUAAUACAGAUGCAAAAGUAGGGAAUAACAACUACUUACAUAGCAUUUACAUUAUAUUAGGUAUUUUAAAUAAUCUAGAAAUGAUUUAAAGUAUAUAAGAUGAUGUGCAUAAGUUAUAUGCAAAUACUAUGCCAUUAUAUAGAAGGGACUUGAGCAUCCUUGGAUUUGGUAUCUGUAGGAGGUGGUCUUGGAACCAAUUCCCCAAGGAUACCAAGAAACAACUCUACUACUACAUGCCUGUUAGAACGGUUAAAAUUAAAGAGAUUGAUUUUACUGAGUGUUGGUGAGGGUGUAGAGAAGCUGGAACUCUCAUGCCCUGCUGGUGGGAAUGUAAAAUGGCACAACCACUUUGGGAAACUAUUAGCAGUUCUUUAAAAGUUAAACAUAUGUCUACCAUAUGAUUUGGUCAAUCCACUCCUUGGUAUUUACCCAAGAGAAAUGAAAGCGUGUGUUCACACAAAGACUUAGAUAUGAAUAUUCAUAAAAGUUUUAUUUGUAAUCAUCAAAAACUGAAAGCAAUUACAUGUUUGGAAUUGAAAUGUAUGGUAAUAUAAUACAAUAUAAAUGAAUGGAUAAAUCGUGGUAUAUCCAUGCAAUGGAAUACUACUCAGCAAUGAAAAGGAAGAAACUAUUAAUGCACUUAAGAUCAUUGCUGAUUUUCAAAUUAAUUAUCCUGUGUAAUAAAGAAUUUGGCCUUUGUCCCCAGUUCCUGGGAGAUAGGCUCUAAAUCCUUGGAAUUUUCCAAGUCGAAGAGUGUCUUUUUUACUGGUGGUUGGCCUGUCAACCACACUUGAGUUUAUGCUAAUGAGGUGACUCAUGAUGGGACCUUACACAAUUUAUGCUAAUGGAAUGACUCAAGAUGGGGGCUGGCCAUGCCAGAAAAACCAACCAUGUAUUUAGAAGGUUGGGGCUUUGAGCUUUUGAUAUAGGCCUGACUUCUGGGGAGAGGAGCAGGGCUGAAGAUUGAGUCAUAGGCCAGUGAUCCAAUGAGUCAUGCCUAUGUGAUGAAGCCCCUAAUAAAAACAAUGGAUAUCAAAGCUCGGCAUAGAGCACAGUGAUUAAAAUCUCAGGCCCAGGAACCACCAGGCUGGAUCUGAAUACCAACUCUGCCACUUACUAGCUGCGUGACCUCAGGCAAGUUACUGAACCUUCGGUUCUGCCAUCUGAAACUGGAGAUGCUAAUGGUGACUACGUCCUAUGAUUACUUGAUGAGCUAGUACGCGUACACCACGUACCUUGUUUAGAACAGUGCCUGGCCUAGAGUGACCACUCAAUAGUUGUUAUUUGUUUCACUGCAAAUGGAAACAUUUGGCAAAGAACUGUUGAGACAAAUAGAGCUGGAAAGGACAACCGAGUAAACAGUGCUUGGUUAACCACAUCAGAAUCACUCGGAGAUUGCUCCAAAAAUGCAGAUUACUGAGCCCCACCUGUGAGAUUCUGGUGGAACCCAGGAACCUGGCUUUUUGCAAAUGCUCCUCCUACUUGGAUCGACAGCCAGACUACCGGCACAGAAGAAAAUGCCCCAAAUUUGGAGUAAGGAAAUCCAGGACUCUGGUAGUAUUUCUGCCAGUGACCCAGUGUGUGACUUCUGAGACUACACUUUCUCAUUUGUAAAAUGCAGAUAACAAAUUUGAUUUAUUCAUAGAGUAGUUGUGGGGGUCACAUUACUAAAGUCAUUUCUGUCGGGGAAGCUGGCUUAGUGGGGUGAAAGGAAUGCAGGCUUUGCAAUAAGCUGGACCCGGCUGUGAGUUCCAUCGUGGAGGCCGCUGCAGAUGUCGUUAGUUGCCAAUUCUAUAUCCAGCCCCCUCUUCCUAACGCAACCCUGAUUUUGCUUGGUGUGUAACUGUGCCUAGUUGAAAAUACUUCCUCCCAGACUUCCUUGCAGCUGGGUGGCCAUGUGACACGGUUCUCUCUGCUGAGGAGUUUCUGGGAAGGCUUAUCUUUCCUUUUUCUUGUUUGUUUGUUUGUUUGUUUGUUUGGAAACAGGGUCUUGCUCUGUAACCCAGGCUGGA
Molecule: long non-coding RNA, 3368 nt
Filed under: Homo sapiens (human)
Lineage: Eukaryota; Metazoa; Chordata; Mammalia; Primates; Hominidae
Description: HSALNT0388402
Source: RNAcentral